This 319-nucleotide ribosomal RNA is filed under the name uncultured eukaryote. RNAcentral's name for it is "partial 18S ribosomal RNA". It matches the Rfam family "Eukaryotic small subunit ribosomal RNA", at positions 1470 to 1796 of the family's 1831-position model. The record is from RNAcentral.
CCCUUAGAUGUUCUGGGCCGCACGCGCGCAACAAUGGUCUUCGCAAACGGAUGCAUUCUCGAAGGAGAAUGCCAAUCUUGGAAUCUAUGCCUUGGUCGGGACAGUUGCUUGCAAUUUUUCGACUCGAACCAGGAAUUCCUUGUAAUCGUGAUUCAUCACAUCACGAUGAAUACGUCCCUGCCCUUUGUACACACCGCCCGUCGCUCCUACCGAUCGAAGAGUUAGGUGAAUUGUUUUGAUCGAUAAGAUUUGACUAUGGUCAACUCUCGUUGUGAAAUUCUGUGAAUCUGACUGUUUAGAGGAAGGAAAAGUCGUAACA